GGCUCUGUGGUGCAAUGGAUAGUGCAUUGGACUUCUAGGCUGUGAGCUGAGCCAUUCAAAUGUUGUGGGUUUGAGUCCCACCAGAGUAG
Danio rerio (zebrafish) is the source of this 89-nucleotide non-coding RNA. Lineage: Eukaryota; Metazoa; Chordata; Actinopteri; Cypriniformes; Danionidae. The record is from Rfam.